RNAcentral lists this ribosomal RNA (253 nucleotides) under uncultured bacterium. RNAcentral describes it as "partial 16S ribosomal RNA". It matches the Rfam family "Bacterial small subunit ribosomal RNA", at positions 524 to 776 of the family's 1533-position model. The record is from RNAcentral.
UACAGAGGGUGCAAACGUUGCUCGGAAUCAUUGGGCGUAAAGCGCACGUAGGCGGUCCGACAAGUGGGGAGUGAAAGCCCUCGGCUUAACCGAGGAAGUGCUUUCCAAACUGCCGGACUUGAGUACGCAAGAGGAUCGCGGAAUUCCUGGUGUAGCGGUGGAAUGCGCAGAUAUCAGGAGGAACACCAAUGGCGAAGGCAGAUCUCUGGGCCGUAACUGACGCUGAGGAGCGAAAGCAUGGGGAGCGAACAGG